This 500-nucleotide ribosomal RNA is filed under the name uncultured bacterium. Its description in RNAcentral is "partial 16S ribosomal RNA". It matches the Rfam family "Bacterial small subunit ribosomal RNA", at positions 30 to 523 of the family's 1533-position model. The record is from RNAcentral.
AUUGAACGCUGGCGGAAUGCUUUACACAUGCAAGUCGAACGGCAGCACGGACUUCGGUCUGGUGGCGAGUGGCGAACGGGUGAGUAAUGUAUCGGAGCGUGCCCAGUCGUGGGGGAUAACGUAGUGAAAAUUACGCUAAUACCGCAUACGAUCUAUGGAUGAAAGCGGGGGAUCGCAAGACCUCGCGCGAUUGGAGCGGCCGAUAUCAGAUUAGGUAGUUGGUGGGGUAAAGGCCCACCAAGCCAACGAUCUGUAGCUGGUCUGAGAGGACGACCAGCCACACUGGAACUGAGACACGGUCCAGACUCCUACGGGAGGCAGCAGUGGGGAAUUUUGGACAAUGGGCGAAAGCCUGAUCCAGCCAUUCCGCGUGCAGGAUGAAGGCCCUCGGGUUGUAAACUGCUUUUGUACAGAACGAAAAGGUUUCUACUAAUACUAGGAGCUCAUGGCGGUACUGUAAGAAUAAGCACCGGCUAACUACGUGCCAGCAGCCGCAGUAA